RNAcentral lists this ribosomal RNA (498 nucleotides) under uncultured bacterium. RNAcentral's name for it is "partial 16S ribosomal RNA". It matches the Rfam family "Bacterial small subunit ribosomal RNA", at positions 30 to 523 of the family's 1533-position model. The record is from RNAcentral.
AUUGAACGCUGGCGGAAUGCUUUACACAUGCAAGUCGAACUGCAGCACGGGGCAACCUGGUGGCGAGUGGCGAACGGGUGAGUAAUACAUCGGAACGUGCCCAAUCGUGGGGGAUAACGUAGCGAAAGCUACGCUAAUACCGCAUACGAUCUACGGAUGAAAGCGGGGGAUCGCAAGACCUCGCGCGAAUGGAGCGGCCGAUGGCAGAUUAGGUAGUUGGUGGGGUAAAGGCUCACCAAGCCGACGAUCUGUAGCUGGUCUGAGAGGACGACCAGCCACACUGGGACUGAGAAACGGCCCAGACUCCUACGGGAGGCAGCAGUGGGGAAUUUUGGACAAUGGGCGCAAGCCUGAUCCAGCCAUUCCGCGUGCAGGAUGAAGGCCUUCGGGUUGUAAACUGCUUUUGUACGGAACGAAAAGGCUCUGGUUAAUACCCGGGGCUCAUGAUGGUACCGUAAGAAUAAGCACCGGCUAACUACGUGCCAGCCGCCGCAGUAA